UGGGCAGUAUCUCAUGUGAACUGCACCCCCAUAAAUACCAAAUUAUUUGAAAAUCUGCCUUGAUCCAGAGAACUGGACUGGGACGGAGGG
Molecule: non-coding RNA, 90 nt
Organism: Bacillus sp. FJAT-22058
Lineage: Bacteria; Bacillati; Bacillota; Bacilli; Caryophanales; Bacillaceae
Source: Rfam